UGAGCUAUACCCCUCAGCCCUAUUUAUUUAUUUGUUUAUUUGUUUAUUUUUUGGUGCUGGGAUUUGAAACCAGGAACUAUUAACCCUGAGUUAUAUCUGAGAGUUUUUUUUUUUUUCUUUUAAACAGGCUUCUGCUAAAUUGCCCAGGUGAGCCUCCAACUUGUGAUCUUCCUGUCUCAGCCAUGAGUCAUUGGGAUUACAGGCUUGUGCAACCCUGCCCAGCUCCUUGGUCUCUCUUGAGGAACUUGGAACAUACUCCAUCCCCUCCUCCAUCCUUAGCCAGCAUCCCCACCAUCUGGACCCUCUCAUACCCCACAGGGAUUUCCUUGUCCCCUUGGAACUGAGGCUGAUCUGAGUCCAGCUUCUGCUGACUAAAGUUGCCAUCUGCUCUCCAGCAUGCCUGCCUUACCCAGCCCAGCCAGGAGCCCCUUGGCUGGCAUGCUCCUCCCUCAUUCUGGACCCAGGUGCCACAGAGGUGGUUUACACGGUUCUUAAUUUGGUAGUCUCUUGUUUGGUAAAGGUCAAAUUCCUGGAUACCCUCACAUUUCUAACUCUCUGAAUAUCAGAGCAUCCAGGAUCCUAGUUUCUUUUUGUACUUAUGUGUGCAUGUACUAUAGCAAAAUUGGAAACUAUAGUUAAACAAAAGGAAGAAAAUAAAAAUUUCUGUCCCAGGCUAAGCA
Molecule: long non-coding RNA, 680 nt
Filed under: Marmota monax (woodchuck)
Lineage: Eukaryota; Metazoa; Chordata; Mammalia; Rodentia; Sciuridae
Source: RNAcentral